AUUGAACGCUGGCGGCAGGCUUAACACAUGCAAGUCGAGCGGUAACAGAGAGUAGCUUGCUACUUUGCUGACGAGCGGCGGACGGGUGAGUAACGCGUAGAAAUCUGCCUGGUAGUGGGGGAUAGCCCAGAGAAAUUUGGAUUAAUACCGCAUACGCCCUACGGGGGAAAGCAGGGGACCUUCGGGCCUUGCGCUAUCAGAUGAGUCUGCGUCGGAUUAGCUUGUUGGUGAGGUAAUGGCUCACCAAGGCGACGAUCCGUAGCUGGUCUGAGAGGAUGAUCAGCCACACUGGGACUGAGACACGGCCCAGACUCCUACGGGAGGCAGCAGUGGGGAAUAUUGCACAAUGGGCGAAAGCCUGAUGCAGCCAUGCCGCGUGUGUGAAGAAGGCCUUAGGGUUGUAAAGCACUUUCAGCAGUGAGGAAAGGUUGUAGUUUAAUACGCUAUAGCUGUGACGUUAACUGCAGAAGAAGGACCGGCUAACUCCGUGCCAGCAGCCGCGGUAAUACGGAGGGUCCGAGCGUUAAUCGGAAUUACUGGGCGUAAAGCGCGCGUAGGCGGUUUGUUAAGUCAGAUGUGAAAGCCCCGGGCUCAACCUGGGAACUGCACCUGAUACUGGCAAACUAGAGUACAGAAGAGGGUGGUGGAAUUUCCUGUGUAGCGGUGAAAUGCGUAGAUAUAGGAAGGAACAUCAGUGGCGAAGGCGACCACCUGGUCUGAUACUGACGCUGAUGUGCGAAAGCGUGGGGAGCAAACAGGAUUAGAUACCCUGGUAGUCCACGCCGUAAACGAUGUCUACUAGCCGUUGGGGAACUUGAUUCUUUAGUGGCGCAUCUUACGCACUAAGUAGACCGCCUGGGGAGUACGGCCGCAAGGUUAAAACUCAUAUGAAUUGACCGGGGCCCGCACAAGCGGUGGAGCAUGUGGUUUAAUUCGACGCAGCGCGUAGAACCUUACCUACUCUUGAAAUCCAUAGAAUUCGCUAGAGAUAGCUUAGUGCCUUCUGGAACUCUGUGACAGGUGCUGCAUGGCUGUCGUCAGCUCGUGUUGUGAAAUGUUGGGUUAAGUCCCGUAACGAGCGCAACCCUUGUCCUUAUUUGCCAGCACGUAAUGGUGGGAACUCUCAGGAGACUGCCGGUGACAAACCGGAGGAAAGUGCGGACGACCUCGAGUCAUCAUGGCCCUUACAAGUACGGCUACACACGUGCUACAAUGGCCGGUACAGAGGGCCGCAACCCCGCGAGGGUGAGCAAAUCUCAAAAAACCGGUUCGUAAUCCGGAUUGGAGUCUGCAACUCGACUCCAUGAAGUCUGAAUCGCUAGUAAUCGCGAAUCA
This 1335-nucleotide ribosomal RNA is filed under the name Amphritea sp. RNAcentral describes it as "bacterial SSU rRNA". It matches the Rfam family "Bacterial small subunit ribosomal RNA", at positions 28 to 1351 of the family's 1533-position model. Lineage: Bacteria; Pseudomonadati; Pseudomonadota; Gammaproteobacteria; Oceanospirillales; Oceanospirillaceae. The record is from RNAcentral.